CACUUCCGGAUAAGCCAAGCGUCCCUGUUUCCAUCUGAUUUUGCCUUCCAUUUAAGAAAGGUAUUGGGUUCUUAUUAAUCACCGAUCUCUUGUGGUGCAGCUGGCUUCUUGCAGCCAAAUGUCUCCACCUGAAGGCUAAAGCUGCACAUUGCAACCAGGUAUUAACUUUUGAUCAUCGUCAGGAUCCUCAUGGAAGGAGAGAGGCAUUCUGGAGGGCUCCUUCAAGGCACAAACUCACGGGAUAAGAGCAGGGGGCGACUGCAAAGAAGCGAGCAACCGGAAUCAGCUAAUAAAAAGCAAACCGGAAGGAUAGCCAGGCUUCCCCAUCACACAGAAAACCAAUCUCUCCCAUUUCAAGCAUCUCCCAUGCACAAUGGGAAUACAGGCUAAAUUUGAAGAGGCGAGUGACCUUAUCUAAGUAGCAACCUUUCCCACGUCACACUUUUUAUUUCUGCCUUCCUGAGCAGUGGAAGAUUGCUAGUGGUCCUUCUCCCUCAGCAGUCAUGGAAUCAUAGAAUUGUUGAUUUAGAAGGGACCCUAAGGAUCAUCUAGUCCCACCCCCUGCAGGGCAGGAAUAUGCAGCUGUCCUCUACGGGGAUUGAACCUGCAACCUUGGUUUUUAUCAGCACCACACACUAACCAACUGAGCUAUCCAGGUGGUUCAGUUUUUGGAGCCCUACCUGUUGAGCUGUGCCAUUUCCCUUGCAGUUUACCCAAACCCACAUGGCAACACCCAGAUUGGGGGGUCCUCCUUCCCCACAUCACCCCCCUGCUCUGAUUCUACAGUGUUUUAAAUGGGGACUAUUCCCCUUUAAAAAAAUUGUCGCCAUGGGUUAGCCUUGCUCCUCUCACCGGUGAGUUUGAGAUUUCUCUUUUAAGAUUGUCUCGUGUAGGCUAUUUAGACUCCGGAGUGUAGGCUGUUUGUUUAUUUUUAUGCUACCAAACUGUUUUCUCCCUCAUCCCACAUCUUAAUCAAGCAUCUUAAUUUGGAAAUGAGGGUUUAAUUGUAUGCUGCUGCCUUCAGCUCCAUCCUCCGCGUCUCAGCCUUUUAGAUAUUUGAAGAUGGCUAUCAUACCUCAUCUCUGUCUCUUCAUGUUUUUUUGAAAAUGAUAUAAAUACAAAUGCAAUGGGUCUUAUUCCCAGGUAAGUGUGGAUACUGGAAAGCAGCUGUCUGGAAGUUUUGGAUACAGUGGUACCUCGGGUUAAGUACUUAGUUUCGGAGGUCCGUUCUUAACCUGAAACCGUUCUUAACCUGAAGCACCACAUUAGCUAAUCGGGCCUCCCGCUGCUGCUGUCCCGCCGCCGCACAAUUUCUGUUCUCAUCCUGAAGCAAAGUUCUUAACCCGAGGUACUAUUUCUGGGUUAGCGGAGUCUGUAACCUGAAGCAUAUGUAACCUGAGGUACCACUGUACGGUAAAGCAGCCUUUCAGAAGUUUUGGAGUAUAACACUGGAGGGUGGAGUGGGUCACAGCAUUAACAUCCCAAUAGAUCUUGCUUCCCCAUUAGGUUUCCAGGGGAACUCCAAGUGCACCAAAGAGUAAGUUGUGCCUCUGUGUAUUCAGCUUCCAGCAUCAGCCCAACACACUCUCUUACAGCCCUCCCCCCAGCCUAUUGUUCUUCCUCCUUGGAUAACAAGGUACCCAGCCAGGUGGGGUAGGAAAAGACCCACUCCUUUGUCUCUAGGGCAACCUAUUUGAAUUUGUAAAUUCGCAGUACAUUCGUACCUUGGAAGUCGAACGGAAUCCUUUCUGGAGGUCUGUUCGACUUCCAAAGUGCGGCUUCUGAUUGGCUGCAAGAAGCUCCUGCAGCCAAGCGGAAGCUGUGCCAGAUGUUCGAAAAUCGUUUGAAAACCAGAACACUCACUUCUGGGUUUUGAUCGUUCGGGAGCCGAUUUCUUUGGGACAUCUUUCCAAAGGAAAAUCUUGAAAUUAUGUGAGAGCUUUUUAUGGUGGUGCUCAACAUGGGAGUUAAGUUGUGGGUGAACAUAUCAGACGACACAGUGAUUCUUCAAACAGCUCUUGUUUAUUCACAGGCCAGAACAGAACUGACUGAAGGGUUCAGCCAGCCUGCUUAUAUAGAGCUCCACUACAAUGCAACAGUAACCAUUUUCUGUAACUAUCCAAUCACUGUGAACGUCACUUUCAAUCCCUUAUUUGCAUAUGUGGACCUGAGUGAAAACUAUCUACAGUAUCCCCCUGCUGGCCCAGGGUGAGAACUUCAGUACAUAACAGUGGGCCUUUCCCCUUUCAUGCUUUUAGUUACUUUUUUAAAAUAAAAAAAAUCAAGAUCUCUGUG
Podarcis lilfordi (Lilford's wall lizard) is the source of this 2295-nucleotide non-coding RNA. Lineage: Eukaryota; Metazoa; Chordata; Lepidosauria; Squamata; Lacertidae. The record is from the annotation of a GenBank genome assembly.